RNAcentral lists this long non-coding RNA (2777 nucleotides) under Homo sapiens (human). RNAcentral describes it as "non-protein coding MIR1-1HG-AS1:33". The record is from RNAcentral. Lineage: Eukaryota; Metazoa; Chordata; Mammalia; Primates; Hominidae.
GCAGAAGUGCCGAGUCCCGGCCGGGGGCAGCCUCGCCGCCGCUCAGCUCGGGAAUCCCUGCCCCCCACCAGCACCUCAGUGGGGGAUACUGCAAGUUCAAGGUGGUUUAAGGCGUGAAUGAAUGAAGGAGCAAGCAGUAAGCCCCGACAGCAAGGCCACCACAGCCCUCGCCCCACAGGGACGCCUGAGCAAGGACCCAAGCAGGGGACAAGCAGGCUCACCCCGCCCUUGCGGGGCUGACCACGAGGCCCCGUCCGGUGGAACACGCCAUGACGCUUCAGGAGGCUCAUGUAGCUGGCGCCGUAUGGGACAGCGGGGGAGAGAGAAAAUGCACAGCCCAGGGAAUGUGGAGACAGGCCCAGCGCCAGGCAUGGGGGCCGGAAGGAGCAGCCGGGGAGCAGGGGGCAGGGCCUGGAGUCCCGCCUUGCAGGUCAGAGAUCUGAACCUGCCCCAGCCCCAGGACUCUGAGUGCAGCAAGAGGGGAGCCGGGCUGGAGAGUGGGGAGCACGGAGACUGUGGCCUGGAUGGUGCCAGAGCAAACAGGAGAGAGGCUGCCCAACGCAGAGGCUGCAGCACAGACCAGAGGGUCCCGGGGCUGACUGGGUGGGGGCAGCUCCCAGCGAGAGGCCCCUGGGAUUUGGGUAAGUAGAGGCACAUGCAGACUCUGGCCACAGGGCACCUCGCGCACGAGGGGAGUUCACCACACAAGCUGAGCGGAGGGCGGACGCAGGAGAGCAGCGGUUUCUCGGAAGCCAAGGGCGGUCAUGGAGCCCCACGCCACAGCGCUUCCCACGGGGCCACACCAUCCGGUCUGCGGAGGGGGCUGCAUUGCCGGGAAGGACCAUCUGAUUCUGGAUUCCAGCCUCACCCUGGGCCACCGCUGAGUGUCCCAAGUGGCCCCUUAGCCCCCAGGGCCAGGCGGCAUCCCAAUCCCCUAGGGAUGUCUGUGCUCAGAAUGUGGCACACACGCCCCGGCAGGGCCAUCCUCCUCCUCCUGCACCCGCCACAGCCGUGGAUUCGGGGUCUCUAUCGUGGGCAGAAAUUCACACAGUCAAGGGGGGCCACAGCACCCCCUUAGGGGUGAUGAGGAAGUGGGAGCUCAGGGAGGACCCCGGGCAGGGCUGCCUCCUCACCUCUCUUCGGCCUUUGGACACUGGAGCUCAGAGGACCAAGUGAAUGAAUGAAUGACUCGAUCAAUCAACUGAUCCAUGAAUCCAUGGACCCCUGAACAGCUGGACAGCUGGGCUGUGGGCAGGACAGGGGACUCUGGCUGAAGCCGCGUUCAUAUGUGUUCAGCUUUGUGAGUGGGGCGAGGUUGAGGGCUUAUUCAGUGGGGGAGGUGCACGGCAGGGCCAGUACCCUUGGAGGGUCAGGCCACAGGGGCGGGGACACCUGCCAGGAUGCCCAACCCCAGAGGCAGUGGGAGCUGUUGGGGAGCCGUGGUCCCAGUCAGCGGUGGCUUGAUGAGGGCUGCUCCCACUUCAUCCGCAGGAUUCCAGCCGCAGCUACCCCACACCCGAGCUGUCCCUAGUCGCCCACCGCGGCCGGACAAAGCCCCAGCAGCCAAGGUGCUCCGUGGGGAGGGUUUCUUGGGUUUCUUGAAGCCAGUAUUUCCCAUAGUAUCUUACGUCCCAGCAGAGGCCUCCACUGUGCCCGGACCAGCGGCCCACUCAGUGAGUCGAGUGUGCACCUGGCACCCCUCUUUCUGGAAAUCCACGAACAAUGGGCUCCCAGCAGAGGACUGAGGCUGAGCAGGCCACUUCCCUGGAGCUGACCCCACAGCUGUGUAGGUACAGGGUGGCCGUGAACACUUAGGGCUCUCUCGGGCUGUGCGCUUCUUGUUCACUGCAAGGAGCAGGGUGUUGGCUCCUGACCAAGCCCUGUCACUGCUGCCCAGCCACACGUGGGGCCCCUUCACCCACCCCUGACCACCUCAUGCAGGUGAAGCCACUGUGGAAACAGCCUGGCAGUCCCUUGAAAAAUGAAGUCAUAAACCCCAGCAAUUGCACUCCUGGGCCUCUGACAGAGCUUGCACGUCCCCUCCAAAGCUCGUGUUAAGCUGUGAGCCCCAGUGCCGGAGGUGGGGCCUGGUGUGUUUGGGUUCUGGGGGUGGAUCCCUCAUGGCUGGGUGCCAUGAACCCACUCACCACAGUGAGUUCUCACGAGAUCUGGUUGUUGAGAAGUGUGUCAUACCUCCCCCACAACUCUCUGUCUUUUGUUCCGGCUCUGGCAAUGUAACAAGCCUGCUCCUCCUUCGCCUUCUGCCAUGACUGUAAGCUUUCUGAGGGCUGACCAGAAGCCCAGCAGAUGCCAGCACCAUGCUUCCUAUACAGCCUGCAGAACCGUGAGCCAGCUAAACCUCUCCUCAUAAAUCACCGAGCCCCAGGUUUAUCUUUACAGCAAUGCAAGACCUGACUAAUACAGCACCAGCUCCCCAAAAUAAAAAGAAAUAUUCAAACAAAUAAGCGCACAGAAGUGUUCCCAGCAGCACUAUUCACAGCAGCCAAAAGGCGGAGGAGCCACAGGCUUGUCAGCUGAUGACAGAUAAAGAAAGCAUGGCCUGUCAUCCCAGCACUUUGGGAGGCCGAGGUGGGUGGAUCACCUGAGGUUGGGAGUUCAAGACCAGCCUGGCCAACAUGGUGAAACCCAGUCUCUACUAAAAAUAUAAAAAUUAGCUGGGUGUGAUGAUGAGCGCCUGUAGUCCCAGCUACUUGGAAGGCUGAGGAACAAGAAUCGCUUGAACCCGGGAGGCAGAGGUCGCAGUGAACCGAGAUCAU